AGGUGUAUGCAGAAUUUCACCGGAUUACAAACCAGAACCUACCCAAUGUAUUCUACACUAAGCUUGACCGCCAUGGUGAACAGGAUUGGACUGUUUGAGAUAAGGAUGAGUCUGAUGAGCAUCAGCUUGGAGAUGUUGCAGUUGCCCUCCUUACAGUCAUCCUGUGAUGAAAACGCAAGUCCAGUUCAUUACUCGCCUGUGAAAAUCUCUGUUGUCAUCGAAAAAAAUUGGAGCUCUCCCUCAGUCCAGCCACUACUGCAGAGAAACAGGACAGCUUAAUUAGAUAACUCAGCACAGCUGUACCAACCAACUCACCUGGCGCUGCUGCUGUGAGCUCUGCCCUCUCCA
Long non-coding RNA from Scomber scombrus (Atlantic mackerel), 348 nucleotides. RefSeq lists it as uncharacterized. The transcript is spliced from 3 exons. NCBI's taxonomy places the organism in Eukaryota, Metazoa, Chordata, Actinopteri, Scombriformes, Scombridae. The record is from RefSeq and is a predicted model, not a curated record.